RNAcentral lists this long non-coding RNA (4755 nucleotides) under Sus scrofa (pig). RNAcentral describes it as "lncRNA (ENSSSCG00025008774.1)". Lineage: Eukaryota; Metazoa; Chordata; Mammalia; Artiodactyla; Suidae. The record is from RNAcentral.
GGCAUAUAUUUUCUGUCCCUUUCUCUCUCUCUUCUCCUUCUGGCACCCCUAUAAUAUGGAUGUUGGUGCAUUUAACAUUGUCCCAGAGUUCUCUGAGACUCUCUUCAUUUCUUUUCAGUCUUUUUUCUCCUUUCUGUUCUGCAUCUGUAAUUUUUGCUAAUCUGUUCUCCACCUCAUUUAUUCGUUCUUCUGCCUCCUGUAUUCUGCUGUUAGCUGCUUCUAGUGAGUUUUUUAUUUCAGUUAUUGUAUUUUGCAUCUCUUCUUGUUUAAGUUUUAUAUGUUGUAUCUCUUUGCUCAGUGUUUCCUGUAAUUAUCCAUCUUUGCCUCCAGUUUAUUUCCAAUGUCUUGCAUCUUCUUCAGCAUCAACAGUCUAAAGUCUUUUUCCUGGAGGCUAAGAAUCUCCUCCUCACUUAGCUAAUUUUCUGGGGUUUUUCCUUUCUCCCUCAUCUGAGUUAUAGUUCUCUGUCUUUUCAUUUUUAUAGGUUUUUGGUGUGGUGACCUUUUUACACAGGGUAGAAUUGCAGCCUCUCUUACUUCCGAUGUCUGUCCCCCUGUGGCUGAAGUCAGUAUGGGGGGCUUGCAGUAGGCUUCCUGAUGGGAGGGACUGAUGCCUGCCCACUGGUAGGUGGGGCUGAUUCUAAUCCCUCUGAUGGGUGGGGCUUAGUCUUUGGAUGGGAUUAGAGGCAGCUGUGUGCCUGGGGGGUCUUUAGGUAGCCUGUUUACUGAGGGGUGAGGCAGUGAUCCCACCUGGGUUGUUAUUUGCCCUGGGGCUUAUCAGCAGCUGACUGACGGGUGGGGCCAGAUUUUCCCAAAAUUGCCACCUCCAGAGAAAGGUGCAGCUGCUGAAUAUUCCCAAGAGCUUUGCUUUCAAUGUCCUUCCCUCACAACAAGCCAAGUUCACCCCUGUUUUCCCAGGAUGUCCUCCAUGAGCUGCAGUAAGGUUUGACCCAGAUUCCCAUGGAGACUUUGCUUUGCCCUGGGGCCCAGUGCAUGUGAAAGUCUGUGUUCACCUUUUACGAUUGGGGUCUCCAUUUCCCCCAGUCCCUUGGAGCUCCUGCACACAAGCCCCACUGGCCUUCAAUGACAGAUGCUCUGGGCCUUGUUCUUCCCAUGUCAGAUCCCCACACGUGAGAGUUUGGUGUGGGGCUUAGAACUCUCACUCCUCUAGGUGAGACUCUGAACCAGUUAGUUUCCAGUCUGUGGAGCUUCCCACCCAGGAGGUAUGGGGUUGUUUAUAUUGUGAAAUCACCCCUCCUACCUCUUGAUGUGUCCUCAUCUUUUUCUCUGGAGUAGGAUAUCUUUUUUAAGGUUUCUGGUCCAUUUGGGUGAAGAGUGCUCAAUCUUUAGUUGUGAAUUUUUUUGUUUUUAGGAAAAAAGUUGAGCCCCAGUUCUUCUAUUCUGCCAUCUUAAUCCCAUCUCCCUGUCUUUAAGCUAUUUUGAGUUUAUUUUUGUGCAUGGUAUGAGGGUGUGUUCUAGUUUCAUUGAUUUAGGUGCAGCUGACUAGUUUCCCCAGCACUACUUGCUGAUGAUUAUCUUUUUCCCAUUUUGUAUUCUUGCCUCCUUUGUGAAGAUUAAUUGACCAUAGGUGUCUGGGUUUAUUUCUGGGUUCUCUAUUCUGUUCCAUUGGUCUGUAUGUCUGAUUUGAUACCAGUACCACACUGUGUUGAUGACUGUGGCUUUGUAAUAUUGCCUGAAGUCUGGGAGAGUUACGCAUCCUGCUUGGUUUUUGUUGCUCAGGAUUUCUUUGGCAGUUCUGAGUCUUUCAUGGUUCCACAAAAAUUUUUGGGUUGUUCUACCACUGUGAAAAACAUCAUGGGUAAUUUGAUAGGGAAUACAUUGCAAUGCAUCUGUAGAUUGCUUUGGGUAGUACAGCCAUUUUUACGAUAUUUAUUCUUCAAACCCAGGAGCAUGGAAUAGCUUUCCAUUUCUUUGAAUCCUCUGUAAUUUCCUUGAUUAAUGCUUUAUGCUUCUCAGCAUAUAAGUAAUUCACCUCCUUGGUCAGGUUUAUCCCUUGGUAUUUAAUUUUUGGGGGUGAAAUUUUAAGAGGUAUUGUAUUUUUGUAUUCCUUUUCUAAUAUUUCAUUGUUAGUAUACAGAAAUGUGACUGAUUUCUGAAUGUUAAUCUUAUAUCCCUGCUACUUUGCUGAAUUUGUUGAUCAGUACAAGUAGUUUUUGGGUUGAGUCCUUAAGAUUUUCUAUUUAUAGUAUUAUGUCAUCUGCAUACAGUGACAAUUUUACCUCUUCCAAUUUGGAUACCUUUUAUUUCAUUUGUUUGUCUGAUUGCUGUGGCUAGGACUUCCAAUACUAUGUUGAAUAAAAGUGGUGAGAGUGGGCAUCCUUGUCUUGUUCCAGAUUUUAGUGGGAAGGCUUUCAGCUCUUCUCCAUGGAAUGUUAUGUUUGCUGUGCGUUUGCCAUAAAUGGCUUUUAUUGUGUUAAGGUAUAUUCCCUCUAUACCCACUUUGGUAAGAAUUUUGUCAUGAAUGGAUGUUGGACUUUGUCAAAUGCUUUUUCUGCGUCUAUUGGGAUGAUCAUGUGGUUUUUGACUUUUCUAUUGUUAUUGUGGUGUAUGACGUUGAUUGAUCUGCAUCUGUUGAACCAUCCUUGUGAACCUGGGAUGAAUCCCACCUGGUCGUGGUGUAUGAUCUUUUUUAUAUGUUGUUGGAUUUGGUUGGCUAAAAUUUUGUUGAGAAUUUUUGCAUCUAUAUUCAUCAAAGAUAUUGGCCUAUAGUUUUCUUUUUUGGUGGUAUCUUUGUCUGGUUUUGGAUUUACGGUGAUGACGGCAUCACAAUGUCUUUGGGAGUAUUCCUUCCUCUUCAACAUUUUGAAGAAGUUUAAGGAGGAUCCAUAUAAGUUCCUCUUUGUAUGUAUGAUAGAAUUUCCCUGUGAAGCCAUCUGGUCCUGGACUUUUAUUUGUAGGGAGUGUUUUAUUUGUUUAUUCAAUUUCAUUUCUAGUGAUUAGUCUGUUCAGUUGAUCUAUUUCUUCUUGAUUCAGUUUUGGCAGGCUGUCUCUAGAAAGUUAUCCAUUUCUUCUAGGUUAUCAAAUUGGUUAUUCUUGUUACCAAUUUAUAGUCUUUCUCUAACCAUAAAUAAACACGCCCACAUUCCUAUCUUACACUGAAAAAAGAAGAAAAGGGGGGAAAAAACUUCCUCAUACUUAUCUCUAAACAUUGUAUUAUUUCUUUUUUUUAUGAUUUAAAAAUAAUUAAAUGUGUUCAGCUAUAUCUGUUUCACUAUACCACUUAUCCUUUAGUCAUUUUUUAAUGAUCCCCUUUCAAGUUCCUCUCUCUCGCCCUCUCUCAUUUUCCAAAUGUGGAUGUUCCUCAGGAAUUUGUCUUUGGGCCAUACCUUUUUUAUUAUAUGCUCCCUGUCAUGGACUACAAUAACUUUAAUUAAUAUACCAAUAUGUAUACUUCCUAAAUCAAAAUCUGCAAUAGUAGCCUCUCAUUCCUUUCAUUUCAAUCCUAUCAUCUUCCACUUCCUUAAAUUCAAGUUUCACAUUCUAAAACUCUUCUACCUGGAUAUUCUUUUAGCACUUUAAAUUGAAAACUGGUUGUGGCAUCAUCUCACAAAAAAAUAUUCUCCUUAUAUUAACAUUCUCCUUCAAGUUUUCAGACAUCAAAUCCUCAUCUCAUUCUCUCUUUAAAGCCACCAAUAACCAACUCUGUUCUCAUCCAUUAUUGAGGCUAUUUUCCUAGCCCAGGUUUACAUCACUUGGGAUAUUAUUUUACCCGCUCUUUAAUUAUUUAUAUACAAAUUUGCCUUUUAGGGCUUCAUCUGUGGCAUAUGAAAGUUCUCAGGCUAGGGGUCACAUUGGAGCUACAACUGUAGACCUGCACCAUAACCACAGUGUUGAGCAUGGCAUGUGGUCUACACCACAGCUCACAACAAUGCUGGAUCCUUAAUUCACUGAGCAAAGACAGAGAUCGAACCUGAAUCCUCAUGGACACUAGUUGGGUUUGUUACUGCUGAGUCAAAACGGGAACUCCUACAUUCAUAUUUUUGUGUUUGCAUUCUAAACAAGUUACAAAGUUGCUCUGUGAAAUUGUAGUUAAUCCAGCUAAUUCAAUGCCCUAUCUGAAAACUAGUGAGAAAAUCCUAAUUCUUAAUGUAUUUUAAACAAUAUGUAUUAUUAUAUAAUAUAUGUAAUAUAUUUGUUACUUCAAUGUGUCUAUGUAUCUCAGGGAGUAUAUAUAUUAUAUAUUUGGCACACUGCAUAUGGCAUAUUUAAACAGUUGAUAAAUGCUAUUAAUUAAUUUUAUAAUCAUAGGAUAAUUAUUUUAAAUUACCUCCAUAAUUCUGCAAUCUAUUUGAUAUAAUUCUAAGGUUUUAUCUUCCUGUAAUACAUUGCUAAUUUUGUCUUUCAGUAGUUGAAUAUAUCAAAAGGGUUUGUGUUGUGCUAUAGGAUAAUGUAAAAGCUUGUUAGUCUAUUAUUCCAAGUCCUCUAUAGUUUCAUUUUCACCAAUUACCAGCUUAUUUUCCACUUUAAAAUUUUUCCUUUGAACUUUAUUCACAAUGAAUUAGUGAUUAUUCUUUACUUUGAGUUAUGAUUUAUCAAUUCCAAGAAAAUGUUUUGCCCUGGAUAUUCCUUCCAUGUAGAAAUUCUACCAUUCUAACAAAGACCUGUUGAAAUGUGAAAGAAGAAAGGAAGAGAGUGAGGGAGGGAUGAGGAGAGAGAGGGACAGAGACAGAAACAAAGAAAGAGAGAAAGAGAGAGAGUGAGAAAGAGAAAGAAAGAAAGAAAGAAAGAAGAAAGAAA